CAGCAGCCACGGGAAUACGAAGGGGGCUAGCGUUGCUCGGAAUGACUGGCGUAAAGGGCGCGUAGGCGGCGAUCAAAGUCAGGCGUGAAAUUCCUGGGCUCAACCUGGGGGCUGCGCUUGAUACUUGGUUGCUUGAGUGGGGAAGAGGGUCGUGGAAUUCCCAGUGUAGAGGUGAAAUUCGUAGAUAUUGGGAAGAACACCGGUGGCGAAGGCGGCGACCUGGUCCUUGACUGACGCUGAGGCGCGAAAGCGUGGGGAGCAAACAGGAUUAGAUACCCCGGUAGUCCCUGUCUCUUAUACA
Molecule: ribosomal RNA, 301 nt
Filed under: uncultured bacterium
Lineage: Bacteria
Description: partial 16S ribosomal RNA
Rfam family: Bacterial small subunit ribosomal RNA
Source: RNAcentral